UUUCCGUAGGUGAACCUGCGGAAGGAUCAUUAUCAAACAGCGGACUUCGGUCCUUGCUGCACCCUUUGUCUUUGCGUACUGUAUGUUUCCUCGGUGGGCUCGCCCGCCGAUAGGACAUUCUAUAAACCCUUUGUAAUUGCAAUCAGCGUCAGAAAAAACUAUAAUAGUUACAACUUUCAACAACGGAUCUCUUGGUUCUGGCAUCGAUGAAGAACGCAGC
RNAcentral lists this unclassified non-coding RNA (220 nucleotides) under uncultured fungus. RNAcentral's name for it is "sequence contains ITS1, 5.8S rRNA gene". The stretch from base 172 to 220 matches the Rfam family "5.8S ribosomal RNA", at positions 1 to 49 of the family's 154-position model. The record is from RNAcentral. Lineage: Eukaryota; Fungi.